CCACAUUCAUAACUGAUGUGCCCUAAGUGUAUCUCAACUGCAAGAGACAGGAUUGAACCAAGACCCCUUCAAGAUCUAAAGCUGUGUUCUCUGACAUCAGAUUCAAUGCAAUCAUCUCCCCAGAGUGCAAGCAUCUCUUGGCAGUUUACCUGAGUCAGGUUAUGAGGACCUGUCAGCAGCUAAGUGUCUCUGACAAGCAGUUGACUGACAUAUUAUUGAUGGAGAAGAAACAAGAAGCAUAAAAGGACUGCAGGAGGUGCUGUGGGUUGGAGCCGUGGGCUGUGGAGGGUUUGUGUAUGAUGAGAAGCCCUGUACAGUCUUCUCAAGAAAAACCCUGAGCCAGUCUCUGAGACGCUUCGGUAAAAAAUGUCCCUGGAUGGAAUCAAGAUUUUAAAUUCAAAUAAAGCCUAAUAUCAUGUUGUGUCCACAUUAUUUAGUCUUUUUUUUCUUUUGAGAUGGAGUCUCACUUUGUCGCCCAGGCUGAGGUGCAGUGGCGUGAUCUCAGCUCACUGCAAGCUCCGCCUCCCAGGUUCACGCCAUUCUCCUGCCUCAGCCUCCCAAGUAGCUGGGACUACAGGGCAAUUGAAGGAACAGACUAAAAAUCGUGUCCUGGAAGGAAACUACAGGUACUACCAGGGAUUUUCAGUCUGAAGAAGAAAAGACAAAAUAGAUGACAGAAGGAGUAUUAGAAGGGAGAGCGAUGAGACUCAGUUGGACACCAAGAGAGAGCAAAGAAGCAAUAAUAUGUGAAGAUGAAAAUGAAAUCAAUUUCAGCAUAAGAAGACAAGAACUUAUGGUAAAGCUGCCCACAGCCAGAAGAGGAUCCUAGAAGGACAGGAAUUCCCUGUCUGCAGCAUUUCAUAAGCAUGUAAUAUUGUUGCAGGGAUACUGCAGAAGGAGUUGAAGUAGUGGACAGACAGAUGAUAUAGGUGAUUUUACAGCCUAAGAAAGCCCUGUGCUUGUGCCCCCAAAACAUGAGGUGCUAGUGAAUGAAUGCUGGGGGAAAGCCCACGGCCUAGGUGUUGCAAUGUUCUGUGGUUGGCAGAUGCUUUUUGUUUUGUUAAAGUGCAACAAAUAAAAUUUAUCAAGACUUUUCUGCUA
Molecule: small RNA, 1101 nt
Filed under: Pan troglodytes (chimpanzee)
Lineage: Eukaryota; Metazoa; Chordata; Mammalia; Primates; Hominidae
Description: processed transcript
Source: RNAcentral